CUAGCGACUUCAGAGUUUGAUCCUGGCUCAGGAUGAACGCUGGCGGCGUGCUUAACACAUGCAAGUCGAACGAAGAAAAUUUGAUUGAGAGCUUCGGCAGGAUUUCAUUUUUUCUUAGUGGCGGACGGGUGAGUAACGUGUGGGCAACCUGCCCUAUACUGGGGAAUAAUCACUGGAAACGGUGACUAAUACCGCAUGUCAUCGCCGGAGGGCAUCCUCUGGUGAAAAAAGGAGUAAUUCGGUAUAGGAUGGGUCCGCAUCUGAUUAGCUAGUUGGUGAGAUAACAGCCCACCAAGGCGACGAUCAGUAGCCGACCUGAGAGGGUGAUCGGCCACAUUGGGACUGAGACACGGCCCAA
RNAcentral lists this ribosomal RNA (358 nucleotides) under uncultured bacterium. Its description in RNAcentral is "bacterial SSU rRNA". It matches the Rfam family "Bacterial small subunit ribosomal RNA", at positions 1 to 334 of the family's 1533-position model. The record is from RNAcentral.